AUUGAACGCUGGCGGCAUGCCUUACACAUGCAAGUCGAACGGCAGCACGGGUGCUUGCACCUGGUGGCGAGUGGCGAACGGGUGAGUAAUACAUCGGAACAUGUCCUGUAGUGGGGGAUAGCCCGGCGAAAGCCGGAUUAAUACCGCAUACGAUCUACGGCUGAAAGCGGGGGACCUUCGGUCCUCGCGCUAUAGGGUUGGCCGAUGGCUGAUUAGCUAGUUGGUGGGGUAAAGGCCUACCAAGGCGACGAUCAGUAGCUGGUCUGAGAGGACGACCAGCCACACUGGGACUGAGACACGGCCCAGACUCCUACGGGAGGCAGCAGUGGGGAAUUUUGGACAAUGGGCGAAAGCCUGAUCCAGCAAUGCCGCGUGUGUGAAGAAGGCCUUCGGGUUGUAAAGCACUUUUGUCCGGAAAGAAAUCCUUGGCUCUAAUACAGUCGGGGGAUGACGGUACCGGAAGAAUAAGCACCGGCUAACUACGUG
RNAcentral lists this ribosomal RNA (486 nucleotides) under uncultured bacterium. RNAcentral describes it as "partial 16S ribosomal RNA". It matches the Rfam family "Bacterial small subunit ribosomal RNA", at positions 30 to 507 of the family's 1533-position model. The record is from RNAcentral.